GCUGGUGUAGCUCAGAGGUAGAGCAGCGCACUCGUAAUGCGCAGGCCGUGGGUUCGAAUCCCACCAUCAGCUCCA
Molecule: transfer RNA, 75 nt
Filed under: Thermoanaerobacteraceae bacterium
Lineage: Bacteria; Bacillati; Bacillota; Clostridia; Thermoanaerobacterales; Thermoanaerobacteraceae
Also listed under: 2 other names
Description: tRNA-Thr
Rfam family: tRNA
About the family: Transfer RNA (tRNA) molecules are approximately 80 nucleotides in length.
Source: RNAcentral